AUUGAACGCUGGAGGUAUGCUUAACACAUGCAAGUCGAACGCGAACGUUUCUUCGGAAACUAGUAGAGUGGCGGACGGGUGAGUAACGCGUAGGAAUCUACCCAAGUGUGGGGGAUAACAUGGAGAAAUUCAUGCUAAUACCGCAUACGCCCUACGGGGUAAAGAGGGCCUCUUCUUGAAAGCUCUUGCAUUUGGAUGAGCCUGCGUCGGAUUAGCUAGAUGGUGGGGUAAUGGCCUACCAUGGCGACGAUCCGUAGCUGGUCUGAGAGGAUGAUCAGCCACACUGGGACUGAGACACGGCCCAGACUCCUACGGGAGGCAGCAGUGGGGAAUAUUGGACAAUGGGCGAAAGCCUGAUCCAGCAAUACCUCGUGUGUGAAGAAGGCCCUAGGGUUGUAAAGCACUUUCAAUUGGGACGAAGGUUGUAAGAUUAAUACUCUUAUAACUUGACGGUACCUUUAGAAGAAGCACCGGCUAACUCCG
This 483-nucleotide ribosomal RNA is filed under the name uncultured Gammaproteobacteria bacterium. RNAcentral's name for it is "bacterial SSU rRNA". It matches the Rfam family "Bacterial small subunit ribosomal RNA", at positions 30 to 505 of the family's 1533-position model. The record is from RNAcentral. Lineage: Bacteria; Pseudomonadati; Pseudomonadota; Gammaproteobacteria.